UCUCCGUUGGUGAACCAGCGGAGGGAUCAUUACUGGAAUCGCAAGAUCCCACAACCCCUGUGAACCUACCGAAACGUUGCCUCGGCGGGCGCCCGUCCCCGCGCCCGGCGCUGAGCCCGCCGGCGGCCCCCUACUCUUGUCUCUGCAGCGCGGCCUCUCAGAGUCCCAGAAAACAAGUAAAAACUUUCAACAACGGAUCUCUUGGCUCUA
This 210-nucleotide unclassified non-coding RNA is filed under the name plant metagenome. Its description in RNAcentral is "partial contains small subunit ribosomal RNA, internal transcribed spacer 1, and 5.8S ribosomal RNA". The record is from RNAcentral.